GGAGCAGAAGCCUGGGCCUUUGUAAGGGCCUGGGCACCUUUGGGAGCCUGAGCUGGAACUGAAGCUGGAGCUGUAGCCUGGGCCUUGGUUUGAUCCUUGGUCUUGGCCUUGGCCUUUGGCCAGCAGAGCCUGAGCCCCUUGGCAAUGUGGGCAUGAGCACGCUUCCCAAGCUUGGGGUAGGCAAUGUAGGCAAGUUAAUCAAGCUUGCAGCUGACACCCUUUGAGAUCUUGGGCCUAACUUCC
Long non-coding RNA from Sapajus apella (tufted capuchin), 243 nucleotides. RefSeq lists it as uncharacterized. The transcript has 3 exons. Lineage: Eukaryota; Metazoa; Chordata; Mammalia; Primates; Cebidae. The record is from RefSeq and is a predicted model, not a curated record.